Molecule: ribosomal RNA, 460 nt
Filed under: uncultured bacterium
Lineage: Bacteria
Description: partial 16S ribosomal RNA
Rfam family: Bacterial small subunit ribosomal RNA
Source: RNAcentral
CCUACGGGAGGCAGCAGUGAGGAAUAUUGGUCAAUGGACGAGAGUCUGAACCAGCCAAGUAGCGUGAAGGAUGACUGCCCUAUGGGUUGUAAACUUCUUUUAUAAAGGAAUAAAACGAGGCACGUGUGCCUUUUUGCAUUUACUUUAUGAAUAAGGAUCGGCUAACUUCGUGCCAGCAGCCGCGGUAAUACGGAGGAUCCGAGCGUUGUCCGGAUUUGUUGGGUUUAAAGGGAGCGUAGAUGGGUUGUUAAGUCAGUUGUGAAAGUUUGCGGCUCAACCGUAAAAUUGCAAUUGAUACUGGCAGUCUUGAGUACAGUUGAGGUAGGCGGAAUUCGUGGUGUAGCGGUGAAAUGCGUAGAUAUCACGAAGAACCCCGAUUGCGAAGGCAGCUUACUAGACUGUGACUGACAUUGAUGCUCGAAAGUGUGGGUAUCAAACAGGAUUAGAUACCCUUGUAGUC